GCGAUGAACCAGACUGCCGCCUGACCGCCGGAAAAACGAGCGGCCGGGAGGAAAGUCCGGGCUCCGCAGGACAUGAUGCCGGGUAAUUCCCGGGACUGCCUUUUGGCAGGACGGACAGCGCCACAGAAAAAAAACCGCCUGUGGUUUCUGGUUACGGAAACUAUAGGUAAGGGUGAAAAGGCGGGGUAAGAGCCCACCGCGGUAUUGGCAACAAUACCGGCUGGCAAGCCCCAUCAGGAGCAAAAUCAAGCAGCGUCGUGAACGGCUUGCCGUUCACGGUGAGGUUGCGUAGACGCAAUUGCGUAAGUGAUUGCGGCUGCAUCUUUCAGCCGGUUGUCCGCCGGUUAAACGCGGGUAGACUGCAAAAAAUGGCCGGUAACGGUCAUUUCAGACAGAUGGCAGCCGGCCGGCCUCUGGUCGGCAACAGAACCCGGCUUAUGGUUCGUCGCUUUU
This 453-nucleotide RNase P RNA is filed under the name Treponema sp. RNAcentral describes it as "RNase P RNA component class A". It matches the Rfam family "Bacterial RNase P class A". From Rfam's summary of the family: Ribonuclease P (RNase P) is a ubiquitous endoribonuclease, found in archaea, bacteria and eukarya as well as chloroplasts and mitochondria. Its best characterised activity is the generation of mature 5'-ends of tRNAs by cleaving the 5'-leader elements of precursor-tRNAs. Lineage: Bacteria; Pseudomonadati; Spirochaetota; Spirochaetia; Treponematales; Treponemataceae. The record is from RNAcentral.